CCGCGUGAGGGAUGACGGCCUUCGGGUUGUAAACCUCUUUCACCAGGGACGAAGCGCAAGUGACGGUACCUGGGGAAGAAGCACCGGCCAACUACGUGCCAGCAGCCGCGGUAAUACGUAGGGUGCGAGCGUUGUCCGGAAUUACUGGGCGUAAAGAGCUCGUAGGUGGUUUGUCGCGUUGUUCGUGAAAACUCACAGCUUAACUGUGGGCGUGCGGGCGAUACGGGCAGACUAGAGUACUGCAGGGGAGACUGGAAUUCCUGGUGUAGCGGUGGAAUGCGCAGAUAUCAGGAGGAACACCGGUGGCGAAGGCGGGUCUCUGGGCAGUAACUGACGCUGAGGAGCGAAAGCGUGGGGAGCGAACAGGAUUAGAUACCCUGGUAGUCCACGCCGUAAACGGUGGGUACUAGGUGUGGGUUCCUUCCUUGGGAUCCGUGCCGUAGCUAACGCAUUAAGUACCCCGCCUGGGGAGUACGGCCGCAAGGCUAAAACUCAAAGGAAUUGAC
Molecule: ribosomal RNA, 506 nt
Filed under: Mycolicibacterium llatzerense
Lineage: Bacteria; Bacillati; Actinomycetota; Actinomycetes; Mycobacteriales; Mycobacteriaceae
Description: bacterial SSU rRNA
Rfam family: Bacterial small subunit ribosomal RNA
Source: RNAcentral